UGGCCGCCGCCAAACCUGUGACCUUUUCACCCCCGAAGCCGAAGUGGCGCGUGGACCCCUCGGUGGCGUUCCCGGGCGGCGGCGAUGCAUUCGCACGUCUCGGGCGCGGCUUUUGCGUCCGCUCUCCGAGGGGCCGCCGUCGAGCACUUUGGCGGCGUCGCGAUUGUCAAAACGCCGCCACCCAGCACACGCAGAUUUGCUGAUCAAACGACUUCUUCCAAUCUGGCAGCUGUUCAAAGGCGACAAAUGUCAUGUGACCCAGCCCAACGCAGCUAACGACAGCGGCGCCAUUUUGUUCCCUUCUCGGUGGGAAAUGGCGGGAGUCCCAACUCGAUCCGGAAUGUGAGCGCGGGCCCUGAGACGCACCAUCUUUUCAGAAAACACAAUGAAAUGCAGUCAUUUGAAUUAUGAAAACUUUGAAUUACAUUUUUUU
Molecule: long non-coding RNA, 433 nt
Organism: Syngnathoides biaculeatus (alligator pipefish)
Lineage: Eukaryota; Metazoa; Chordata; Actinopteri; Syngnathiformes; Syngnathidae
Exons: 3
Source: RefSeq, a predicted model, not a curated record